AAUCACUCCGGUUUACCUUACAUUUGAGAAGGCAAGGUCAGCCUUUUGAUGUGUGUUUUGAAAAGAGUAAAGACUAAGACCACAGCUUUGUUUGGGAGAGGUUUUUUCUUUUUUAGACUUAGAUCAAUUACAUUAAAACAUUCAGCUUUCAAACAAUGACCCCAAAGAAAAUAAUGCUGGCUUUUAUCUUUUAUGAAAGUAAUAUUUGCCUUACUACUCUUGGGAUUGAACAUUCCCUUUCUAUUGAAAUGAUUCACAGGGAUGCUGCUUAGAUGGCCUGAUAGUACACUGACAUUAAUAGCAGAAUAUUUCAAUCAGAGCUGUCUGACCAUAAGGGAAUAACUGUUCCCAUUGAUUAAGGCAAAAACCAAGUUAGUUUGUAAGCAAUUGAAGUUGGUUUAUGGGUUUUGUUAUUUGGCAUUUACAUCUCUUUCCAACCCACAGAACUCAAAAGACUUAACAAGCUGAUUGAAGCAGUAAGGAGAAGGCAUUUGGGGAGUGAUGCAAAAGGUCACUUACCCGAAAGCAGAAAUUUUUAGCCUUUUGGAUCCAAGAUAAAGGCAAGUGGCUUUCUCAGAAUAUUACAGGUCUGAAUGAGAAAGUGGUCAAACUUUAGGAAAGCAUGUUUCAAAACAUUUGUCAGGACAUCCUUUUCAUUUAAUCACAUAAAUCGCAUUCAGUUUUCUUCCUUCUUUAUGGAUCAUUUAAAGAGAAACAUAAGUUUAAUAAAUGUAAAUAAACAUCUUUUUACCUGUGUUUAACCAUAAAGUCCUUUUUAAGUGCCAAGUUCUAAGUGCUAUAUAGUAACAACUCACAUAUGACCCAAUGACCCAUGAAUUAUAUAGCUAGUCUGUGUGUUAGAUACUACAUAGAAUAUGAAAAUACAUUUUUGUAUAUGAAUCUGUAUCAAGCUACUUUUCUGCCCUUCUAGGACAUGCCUGGUUCCAGCUCCUAAGUUAUUAGUUUGGUGAAGUCUAGCCAUGAUCUCGGAUUUCUAGUAGCAGGGUGUAAAAUAGAAUACAGUCACAAUAGGUGGAACUGGGAGUCAACAGAAAGCCCAAGAUAGAUAGAGAUAUAGGCCCUUAUGGAACAAAGAACAAGGAGAUGAUCCUGUCCAGAGCUAGAAAGGACCUCAGGAAAAGCUUCAUCUGAGGGGCAAGAUGGGUCAAGCUUCUAAAGUAUAGAGAUGGUAAUGAUGGAAGUCCUUCUAGAAAAGUCCACUGAGAUCAAAGCAAGGCCCAAGCACAGGGCCCACAUUGCCAGGAAGGGAACAGGCAAAUGUUCCAAUCCAGGUGGGAUGUAAGAAGUGGUUCUGUUCUCCAGGAAUCUGGGCUAUUCAGAGGAAGGAUUGCCCUCUGCCCUUGGGCAUAGACUUCUGGGGAGAUGAGAUCUAAUCACCCUCCUUUCUUUUGCCAAGGGGAAGUUUCUGAUAUGCCACACAGGCAGCUCUUCUUUAAGUGAGAGAAGCAGAGCAGCUUAUCAUGGCAGGUAAACAGGCUUCCAAUGAAGUCAUCAACCUUGCUCCAGACGAAGCCCCACCUGAUACUGAUAGAUACUAGGCACACGCCAGCACUGACCUGAAUAUUACCUUCUACAGGCACACGCACAAGCAUGCAUACACAAACACACACACACACACACACACACACACACAGGGACGGAGGGGUGGGGGUGGUUAUGUUAUCCCAAAUUCCUCCUAUGCAAAAACCCCUCAAGUAUAAGUACUCUCUCCUUGCAGGUUUCAUACCUAGAAAAGUGUCCCUGGGGAUCUUCAGAAAAGCAAAUCAAAAAGACAAGGCCUAAAUGGAACCAGCUGAUGGUGGCUAGCACAGAUCCCUAUGAAAGUAUCUAGGGCACUGGUAAUAAAGACUGUUUUCUUGAACCAAGAAGAGGUGAAGCUGGGGGUGGAGAAUGUUUGGUAGCAAAUAAACACAAAUUCACUCAAAAGUAUAUAAAGGGAUAUAUGUCUAUAGGAAGAGUUGGCCAUCCAUGGUCCUCUUCCAUUGUCUGCAUCUCUCUCCCCACCCUUCUUCUCUGGAUCUAUGUAUCUCCUUCAUGCCUCUCUUCUCUCACACAUACCCUGCUUUCCUCACUCACUUGGAUCAUGUGAUCUCUCCCUUCUAUGAUUCCCUUUGCUCCUGUUUUCUUCCUUCAUGUGGGGCUUUCUGUGCCUUGAUUCACCCUCACCUGGUGUCUUCAGAGCCAUUACUAAUGGAGGCUUCACUCCCCAAAAUGGAGGACCCUUGCAGCCCAUCUCCCACCUGUUCACUUUGGGCUCGGAUCUUCACACCACUUGUGGGAAGGCAAAUGCAUAUCUGAUGACUAUCUCUAAUCCAAUCAGGUUUGGAAAAAGACAAGUAAGGCUGCCCUUCAGGGCUAGGUGCAGGUCAGUUCUCAGAGAGGAGUGUGGGUAAAGGGGCAGGAUGAGUAUUUCCAGCACAUCCUCCACAAAGACAUCUUCAAGGGCUUUCAAGAUUUCUCAGUCAGCCCACUCAUCCAAUUCCCUGGUUCUGUCCUUUGGCCUCUGGUUGCUGGACAGAAAAGCAAAACAAAAAGACAAGGCCUAAAUGGAAACCAGCUGAUAGUGGCUAGCACAGGAUUCCUAUGAAAAUAUCUAGGGCACUGGUAAUAUACAAAUUGCAUUGUACAUUCUGUACAGUUCUUGGGUUGGAAAAUUAAGUUCCAGAUUCUAAGUGUUGUGUAAUACUGUUCAGCAGUAUUGAAGACAGAGAAUUUUCCAUAUUAAUUCAAUAGAUUUCACAUUUAAGCCUGAAGGAUGAGGAAUGCCAUGAACCAUUAGUUUUCUUUUUUUUUCCCCAGUCUGAGGGAGGUAUUUCAAUUAAUCCAAACCCUGUAUCUUCAGUAUUUUGAUAACCUCGUAUCUCUUGCCACAUUUUCUGAGAAGUCAUAUACCAAAAUAAAAUAUACAGGCAUGUUUGUUGUGGUAGAUUGAUAUUAGCUUCAAAUAUGGGAGGACUGCAUAUUCAGGAACUCUUUUAAGUUAAAUACCAAUAAGAGUUGCCAUAGACAGGUAAUGACAGGAAAAGAUACAGAAAAAAAUUCACAUUAUUUUACCUCUGCUUAGUCCUAAAGUGAAGCAUCUUGUUACAUGUGGUUUUAUUUUGACUGGUUAAUUGUUCAUGAAGUUCUUUAUAUUUCUAAAUGCCUUCUUCAGCAUUAAUUUAGGCACAGAAUGAUAACUUUAUUAUGUACAUAUAUGAAUACACCACCAAUGAAUCUCCAUAUCAUGUACAACCACAAGACUGGGGUCCUAAUUAGAAUAAUUUAUAUUCCAUGUAUGUAUAAUAUGUCAAAAUACACUCUAUUGUCAUAUAUAUCUAAAAAGAACAAAUAAAAGAAUAAGAUAUAUUCUAUGCUUGUAUAAUUAUAUCAAAAUGGACUCUACUGUCAUGUAUAACUAAAAAGAACUAAUGAAAAAUUGUUAUAGCAGCACAAAGGAUUGGUGCAUUGGGUCUGGCAGUCAACAAUUGGGCACAUCACCAAAAUUCACUAAAAAAUAUUUUGCUUUAUUACCCAUUUCUAAGUAAGGUCAGACACAUUUCAUUAUUCUUUCUUGAAUAAAUAAUGUAUCCUACCUCCAAAAAAUAAAGGCACUAUACAAAAUAUCUGCUUCUGUAGAAGACCUAGAAAAUAUUCUGCUUAAAAUAAGAUGUAUUUUUUUCUUAUGUG
Molecule: long non-coding RNA, 3690 nt
Filed under: Marmota monax (woodchuck)
Lineage: Eukaryota; Metazoa; Chordata; Mammalia; Rodentia; Sciuridae
Source: RNAcentral